RNAcentral lists this non-coding RNA (31 nucleotides) under Mus musculus (house mouse). Lineage: Eukaryota; Metazoa; Chordata; Mammalia; Rodentia; Muridae. The record is from RNAcentral.
UGUUCCUGAAAUGGCGAGAGUGUGCCAAAGC